RNAcentral lists this long non-coding RNA (572 nucleotides) under Bos taurus (domestic cattle). Its description in RNAcentral is "long non-coding RNA NONBTAT018643". Lineage: Eukaryota; Metazoa; Chordata; Mammalia; Artiodactyla; Bovidae. The record is from RNAcentral.
GAUUAGCAUCUGUGCUAAUAAGGGCAAUGCCUUUAAGAAAACUUACAUUCUAAGAGGUUAGAGUUCUCAGAUUAUAGAUUGAUGUUGGUAAGAAGUUUUUAUUUUCAUAUUGUGCCCAAAUUAUAAGAAAAUGUUUCUUUUCAACAACAGUCUGAAACACUUAGUGUGACCAAUCUGAUGUGAUCCAAUUUUUAUGUAUGCAUGAAAAUCUCGUUUACUUAGAAAAGUUGUCAGUUACCCCCUUCUAAUAAUUCAAAAAUAUUGCAGUGUUUCCCUCUUCAUUAUUCAGUCUCAAGAUAUAAUUGGCUUGUUAAACGUCAACUGUCUUAUAUUUUUAAAAAACAAUUCUGCUCCCUUCCUAAUCUUAUCUUGCUUAGAGCGACUGUUGCUUGUACCUUAGCUUGUUUUUGUUUUACAUAAACAAGUUGCCAAGGAAAGUGUCUUUUUGUUAAUUAAAAUUUUGGGUAAUAGUUGGGGGUGGGUGGUGGUAGUAUUCCCAUGAGUGCUUAAUUUUUUUCUCUGUGUGAAACUGCCCUAAGAGACCCUUAACUAUUUAUAAUGCCUGGGAGUUU